Molecule: transfer RNA, 69 nt
Filed under: Ictidomys tridecemlineatus (thirteen-lined ground squirrel)
Lineage: Eukaryota; Metazoa; Chordata; Mammalia; Rodentia; Sciuridae
Description: Spermophilus tridecemlineatus (thirteen-lined ground squirrel) tRNA
Rfam family: tRNA
About the family: Transfer RNA (tRNA) molecules are approximately 80 nucleotides in length. Their secondary structure includes four short double-helical elements and three loops (D, anti-codon, and T loops).
Source: Rfam by way of RNAcentral
AGGAUUGUGGUUCAGUGGUAGAAUGCUUGCCUACCAUGCAUGAGGCACUGGGUUCGAUCCUCAGUACUA